GAUGAACGCUGGCGGCGUGCUUAACACAUGCAAGUCGAACGGGAAACCUUUUAUUGAAGCUUCGGCAGAUUUAACUGGUUUCUAGUGGCGGACGGGUGAGUAACGCGUGGGUAACCUGCCUUGUACAGGGGGAUAACAGUCAGAAAUGACUGCUAAUACCGCAUAAGCGCACAGGACCGCAUGGUCCGGUGUGAAAAACUCCGGUGGUAUAAGAUGGACCCGCGUUGGAUUAGCUUGUUGGUGGGGUAACGGCCCACCAAGGCGACGAUCCAUAGCCGGCCUGAGAGGGUGAACGGCCACAUUGGGACUGAGACACGGCCCAGACUCCUACGGGAGGCAGCAGUGGGGAAUAUUGCACAAUGGGGGAAACCCUGAUGCAGCGACGCCGCGUGAAGGAAGAAG
RNAcentral lists this ribosomal RNA (402 nucleotides) under uncultured bacterium. Its description in RNAcentral is "bacterial SSU rRNA". It matches the Rfam family "Bacterial small subunit ribosomal RNA", at positions 28 to 413 of the family's 1533-position model. The record is from RNAcentral.